UGGGGAAUUUUGGACAAUGGGCGCAAGCCUGAUCCAGCCAUGCCGCGUGUCUGAAGAAGGCCUUCGGGUUGUAAAGGACUUUUGUCAGGGAAGAAAAGGAUAGGGUUAAUACCCCUGUCUGAUGACGGUACCUGAAGAAUAAGCACCGGCUAACUACGUGCCAGCAGCCGCGGUAAUACGUAGGGUGCGAGCGUUAAUCGGAAUUACUGGGCGUAAAGCGGGCGCAGACGGUUACUUAAGCAGGAUGUGAAAUCCCCGGGCUCAACCUGGGAACUGCGUUCUGAACUGGGUGACUAGAGUGUGUCAGAGGGAGGUAGAAUUCCACGUGUAGCAGUGAAAUGCGUAGAGAUGUAGAGGAAUACCGAUGGCGAAGGCAGCCUCCUGGGAUAACACUGACGUUCAUGCCCGAAAGCGUGGGUAGCAAACAGGAUUAGAUACCCUGGUAGUCCACGCCCUAAACGAUGUCGAUUAGCUGUUGGGCAGCUUGACUGCUUAGUAGCGAAGCUAACGCGUGAAAUCGACCGCCUGGGGAGUACGGUCGCAAGAUUA
This 549-nucleotide ribosomal RNA is filed under the name uncultured bacterium. Its description in RNAcentral is "bacterial SSU rRNA". It matches the Rfam family "Bacterial small subunit ribosomal RNA", at positions 355 to 896 of the family's 1533-position model. The record is from RNAcentral.